UACGGAGGGUGCAAGCGUUGUUCGGAAUUAUUGGGCGUAAAGGGUGCGUAGGCUGCGCGGUAAGUCGGGUGUGAAAUCUCGGAGCUUAACUCCGAAACUGCAUUCGAUACUGCCGUGCUUGAGGACUGGAGAGGAGAAUGGAAUUCCCGGUGUAGCGGUGAAAUGCGCAGAUAUCGGGAGGAACACCGGUGGCGAAGGCGGUUCUCUGGGCCUUACCUGACGCUGAGGAGCGAAAGCGUGGGGAGCGAACAGG
This 253-nucleotide ribosomal RNA is filed under the name uncultured bacterium. RNAcentral's name for it is "partial 16S ribosomal RNA". It matches the Rfam family "Bacterial small subunit ribosomal RNA", at positions 524 to 776 of the family's 1533-position model. The record is from RNAcentral.